Molecule: unclassified non-coding RNA, 346 nt
Filed under: soil metagenome
Description: partial contains 5.8S ribosomal RNA, internal transcribed spacer 2, and large subunit ribosomal RNA
Rfam family: 5.8S ribosomal RNA (bases 1-118)
Source: RNAcentral
UGAAGAACGUAGCAAAAUGCGAUAAGUAAUGUGAAUUGCAGAAUUCAGUGAAUCAUCGAAUCUUUGAACGCACAUUGCGCCCGCCAGUACUCUGGCGGGCAUGCCUGUCCGAGCGUCAUUUCAACCCUCAGGGCCCUCCAGCAGGGCGCUGGUGUUGGGGAUCGGCAGUCCCAGCGGCUGCCGUCCCUGAAAUGUAGUGGCGGUCCCACCGUGACCUCCCCUGUGCAGUACAUCGCUCGCAGAGGGACAGCGGUGCGGCCACGCCGUAAAACGCCCAACUCUUCAAGGUUGACCUCGGAUCAGGUAGGACUACCCGCUGAACUUAAGCAUAUCAAUAAGCGGAGGA